RNAcentral lists this transfer RNA (63 nucleotides) under Rattus norvegicus (Norway rat). It matches the Rfam family "tRNA". From Rfam's summary of the family: Transfer RNA (tRNA) molecules are approximately 80 nucleotides in length. Their secondary structure includes four short double-helical elements and three loops (D, anti-codon, and T loops). The record is from Rfam by way of RNAcentral. Lineage: Eukaryota; Metazoa; Chordata; Mammalia; Rodentia; Muridae.
GGGGACUUAGCUCAGUGGUAGAGCGCUUGCCUAGCAAGUACAAGGCCCUGGGUUCAGUCCCCA